This 253-nucleotide ribosomal RNA is filed under the name uncultured bacterium. RNAcentral describes it as "partial 16S ribosomal RNA". It matches the Rfam family "Bacterial small subunit ribosomal RNA", at positions 524 to 776 of the family's 1533-position model. The record is from RNAcentral.
UACGGAGGGGGCUAGCGGUAUUCGGAAGUACUGGGAGUAAAGCGCGCGCAGGUGGCGCAAUAAGUGGCUGGUGAAAGCCCUCGGCUCAACCGAGGAACUGCCUGCCAACCUGCUGCGCUUGAGGCCGGGAGGGGGAAGCGGAAUUCCUGGUGUAGCGGUGAUAUGCGUAGAUACCAGGAGGAACACCGGUGGCGAAGGCGGCUUCCUGGACCGGCUCUGACACUCAUGCGCGAAAGCGUGGGGAGCAAACAGG